ACUCCAGCUCCAAUAACGUAUGUUAAAGUUGUUGCAGUUAAAAAGCUCGUAGUCUGACUCUUGGCCUGGCGGUGAGCGCCGGCGGCCCACAAGGUCGCUCGCGUGCGAACCGCUGGCCAUGUACUUCGGAGGAGCGCGUGUGCUUUCCAUUAAGUGGGCGUGGGAUUCCGAUAGUUUACUUUGAGAAAAAUAGAGUGUUCAAAGCAGGCGAUUGCCUUGAAUACAUUAGCAUGGGAUAAUGGAAUAGGACAUUGGUUCUAUUUUGAUGGUUUAAGGGCCGAUGUAAUGAUUAAUAGGGACGGUUGGGGACAUUUAUAUUCCAUGGCUAGAGGUGAAAUUCUUGGAUUCGUGGAAGAUAAACUGCUGCGAAAGCGCCUGUCAAAGACGUUUUCAUUGAUCAAGAACGAAAGUUAGGGGAGCAAAGAUGAUCAGAUACCGUCGUAGUCUUAACCAUAAACGAUGCCGACUAGGGAUCGGUGGGUGUUAGUUUGAUGACCCCAUCGGCACCUCGUGGGAAACCAAAGUCUUUGGGUUCCGGGGGGAGUAUGGUCGCAAGGCUGAAACUUAAAGGAAUUGACGGAAGGGCACCACCAGGAGUGGAGCCUGCGGCUUAAUUUGACCCAACACGGGAAAACUCACCAGGUCCAGACAUGGUAAGGAUUGACAGAUUGGGAGCUCUUUCUUGAUUCCAUGAAAGGUGGCGCAUGGCCGUUCUUAGUUGGUGGAGUGAUUUGUCUGGUUAAUUCCGAUAACGAACGAGACCUUAACCUGCUAACUAGUCACGGGAAGCCUUGUGCUUGCCGGCCGACUUCUUAGAGGGACAGUCUGUUUCCAGCAGAUGGAGGUGUGAGGCGAUAACAGGUCUGUGAUGCCCUUAGAUGUCCUGGGCUGCACGCGCGCUACACUGACGAGUUCAACGAGUAUAUAACCUUGGCAGAGAUGUCUGGGUAAUCUUUUGAACGCUCGUCGUGAUGGGGAUAGAUGAUUGCAAUUAUUCGUCUUGAACGAGGAAUUCCUAGUAAGUGUGAGUCAUCAGCUCGCGCUGAUUACGUCCCUGCCCUUUGUACACACCGCCCGUCGCUCCUACCGAUUGAAUGGUCCGGUGAGAACUCCGGAUCACGCGCGUGACGCAGGUUCGCCUGUGACUUGUGCGAGAGAAGUUGUUCAAACCUUACCAUUUAGAGGAAGGAGAAGUCGUAACAAGGU
This 1206-nucleotide ribosomal RNA is filed under the name metagenome. RNAcentral describes it as "SSU rRNA". It matches the Rfam family "Eukaryotic small subunit ribosomal RNA", at positions 582 to 1800 of the family's 1831-position model. The record is from RNAcentral.